RNAcentral lists this ribosomal RNA (455 nucleotides) under uncultured bacterium. RNAcentral describes it as "bacterial SSU rRNA". It matches the Rfam family "Bacterial small subunit ribosomal RNA", at positions 30 to 482 of the family's 1533-position model. The record is from RNAcentral.
AUUGAACGCUGGCGGCAUGCCUUACACAUGCAAGUCGAACGGCAGCACGGGAGCAAUCCUGGUGGCGAGUGGCGAACGGGUGAGUAAUAUAUCGGAACGUGCCCGGUCGUGGGGAUAACGUAGCGAAAGCUACGCUAAUACCGCAUACGAUCUACGGAUGAAAGCGGGGGAUCGCAAGACCUCGCGCGAUUGGAGCGGCCGAUAUCAGAUUAGGUAGUUGGUGAGGUAAAGGCUCACCAAGCCGACGAUCUGUAGCUGGUCUGAGAGGACGACCAGCCACACUGGGACUGAGACACGGCCCAGACUCCUACGGGAGGCAGCAGUGGGGAAUUUUGGACAAUGGGCGCAAGCCUGAUCCAGCAAUGCCGCGUGCAGGAUGAAGGCCUGGUUGUAACUAGCUUUGUACGGUAACGAAAGGUUACGUAUAAUACUAGGAGACUCAUGUACGGUACCGU